Molecule: transfer RNA, 87 nt
Filed under: bacterium
Lineage: Bacteria
Description: tRNA-Leu
Rfam family: tRNA
About the family: Transfer RNA (tRNA) molecules are approximately 80 nucleotides in length. Their secondary structure includes four short double-helical elements and three loops (D, anti-codon, and T loops).
Source: RNAcentral
GCCCGGGUGGUGGAAUGGCAGACACGAGAGACUUAAAAUCUCUUGUCCUCUAAGGACGUGUGGGUUCGACUCCCACCCCGGGCACCA